CCUACGGGGGGCAGCAGUGAGGAAUAUUGGUCAAUGGACGAGAGUCUGAACCAGCCAAGUAGCGUGAAGGAUGACUGCCCUAUGGGUUGUAAACUUCUUUUAUAUGGGAAUAAAAUGUUCCACGUGUGGGAUUUUGUAUGUACCAUAUGAAUAAGGAUCGGCUAACUCCGUGCCAGCAGCCGCGGUAAUACGGAGGAUCCGAGCGUUAUCCGGAUUUAUUGGGUUUAAAGGGAGCGUAGGUGGAUUGUUAAGUCAGUUGUGAAAGUUUGCGGCUCAACCGUAAAAUGGCAGUUGAAACUGGCAGUCUUGAGUACAGUAGAGGUGGGCGGAAUUCGUGGUGUAGCGGUGAAAUGCUUAGAUAUCACGAAGAACUCCGAUUGCGAAGGCAGUUCACUGGACUGCAACUGACACUGAGGCUCGAAAGUGUGGGUAUCAAACAGGAUUAGAUACCCCCUGUAGUC
This 461-nucleotide ribosomal RNA is filed under the name uncultured bacterium. RNAcentral describes it as "partial 16S ribosomal RNA". It matches the Rfam family "Bacterial small subunit ribosomal RNA", at positions 338 to 795 of the family's 1533-position model. The record is from RNAcentral.